GGUAGGUCACUCUUCCGGAGUGCUCCUUCCUCCAUUCAUGGGUGGAAGGAGAGGUUUUUCUUUCUUUCCUCCGAACGCAUGUGGGAAUUCGACCCCAGGUGGGGGCAGCUCCAGCUCAAGGCCGCCAACAAGCUCUCCAGACUUUCAGAGAGCGAGCAGAAGACCCUCGACGCUCUUUACAGCGUCGAGGAGAACAUUCUUUUGAACGACCUCCUGAGCGAGGUGGCUUUGGUGAAUGUCGGCCUGAGCUCGGCGCGCCCUCAGGGUAAGAGCGGUUAUGUGGCUCUGUUCUGUCGUCUUUUGUCUUAUUUGUUUUACUUUUUCUCUUUUUCUCUCUUUUCUCCCUUUUCCUUUCUUCUUUGGUGACAACCUGACAUCCCUGCUUCUCUUUUUUCGUCUUUUUAGAUAUUCCGGGGAUGGUGACCGGUAACGCAGCUCUUUACGCCCGGUACAAGAAAAAGGCG
RNAcentral lists this long non-coding RNA (464 nucleotides) under Phoenix dactylifera (date palm). RNAcentral's name for it is "long non-coding RNA (PDAC_LNC008088)". The record is from RNAcentral. Lineage: Eukaryota; Viridiplantae; Streptophyta; Magnoliopsida; Arecales; Arecaceae.